CCUACGUGUGGCUGCAGUGGGGAAUAUUGCACAAUGGGCGAAACCCUGAUGCAGCGACGCCGCGUGAGUGAAGAAGUCUUUCGGUAUGUAAAGCUCUUUCAGCAGGAACGAGACAAGACGGUACCUGCCUAAGAAGCCCCGGCUAACUACCGGCCAGCCGCCGCGGUAAGACGUAGGGGGCAAGCGUUAUCCGGAAUCACUGGGUGUAAAGGGAGCGUAGACGGCUGUGCAAGCCUGAAGUGAAAGGCGGGGGCCCAACCCCUGGACCGCUUUGGGAACUGUACGGCUGGAGUGCCGGAGAGGUAAGUGGAAUGCCGAGUGUAGCGGUGAAAUGCGUAGAUAUAAGGAGGAACACCAGUGGCGAAGGCGGCUUACUGGACUGUAACUGACGUUGAGGCUCGAAAGCGUGGGGAGCAAACAGGAUUAGAUACCCGAGUAGUC
RNAcentral lists this ribosomal RNA (441 nucleotides) under uncultured bacterium. RNAcentral describes it as "partial 16S ribosomal RNA". It matches the Rfam family "Bacterial small subunit ribosomal RNA", at positions 338 to 795 of the family's 1533-position model. The record is from RNAcentral.